Molecule: long non-coding RNA, 3583 nt
Organism: Gallus gallus (chicken)
Lineage: Eukaryota; Metazoa; Chordata; Aves; Galliformes; Phasianidae
Exons: 2
Source: RefSeq, a predicted model, not a curated record
GCCCCCCGCGGGACUCGGGGCUGCGGGAGGAGGAGGAGCCCGAGCCCCCGCCGCGUUGGUCCCGCCGGGCUGCCCCCACAUCGUCUGCCGGAGACGGGGAGCCCCGGUGUGAGGGGGACGAGGGGACAGCCAGGGCGGGGUGCCCAGGAGGCUUUCGGACAUCCCCGAGGAGGAGAACCCCCCCGGAUCCAGCCUCUCUGGCUCCUGUGCCAGCACAGCAAUGCUGCUUGAUGGGCAGGGGGAACUCCUGGACGCCGGGUUGUACCCGUGCCUCUGAGCCUGGCCACGUCUUCCUGCAGCUAUUUAUGGCCGUGGGUGAGAAGCCCUAAGUCCCCUCUGCUCCAUGCUGAGCAGCCCCAGUUCUGUCAGCCUUUCUUUACAGCCAUCUCAGUGGCCACCACCCUCCAGGAUGCCCAGGUCUCUCUUGUACCGGGGAUGCAGAUCUGGACAAAGUACACAAUACAAAGAAAACCCUAUUGAUAGCUCCUACCCAGCUAAAGCACGGUGCUGAUGGGCUCCUUGGAUCCACAACAAGAGACAGCUCUCCCCCCACACCUCAGAGUUAACAGGCACAGCUGGUAACAUUAGCCCAGCUGACUACCUGUAACUGCCAGGUGACAGCCAGCACUCCCUCCUGCCCGUUACUUUUUAUCAGGGCAUCUCACACAGCUGUGAAGCCCGAUUUCCACAAGGAAGGUCUGCCCACACACAGAUCAAAAGACGUUAGCUUAACCUGAACGGUUGUACUGAACAGUUUCCUUCUGGCUCUGCUUUUCCCUUGCUACACUGGCAGAGCCUGUUUCAAUUAUAACUAGUUUAUCAGAAAGCACCUUCCACUGCUUUGACUUUUUCUUCUAUCAGAAGGACACAUCCCUGUGGGAAUGCCUGCUGUGUUUUACAGUCUUGUAGCAAUCCUUGGAUCUUGGCACCAUGAGAGCAGCCCCAAGCCUCCUAUGGAAGAUGCUUCACAGAGCAGUUGGCCUGGUGUCAUGCAUUGGGGCUGGGGAUGCAGCUACCACAGCUGCACUGCAGAACCCCUGCCUCCAAACCCAACACGUUGCUCUUUCCUAGGACCUGCAGCAAUCUUUCUCCAUCAUUCUGAGGCAGCAUAGUUGGAAGUGACUGAAAUUCCUUUGUGCAUCAUGAGUAAACUGCAAGGAACUGUUGUAGUUGAACCUGAAUGUUUCAAACUGGAGGUAGCAGAGCUGGGAGCUGAUCAGAGGCUUCAUCAGCCCCAGGUGCCACGGACAUCCUCACACCUCUGUCCACCUCCACAGGAGGAAAUCCAUCACACAACAUGCAGCCUUUACCGAACACCUUCUCUUUACUCAGCUCAGAGUCCUCCAAAAGAGCUUACCCUGAUAGGGGUGAACAGAGCAUGGACUCCUCUCGUGCUGCCCAUUUGGACACAACUGACACAAUCACUACCUGAUAGCUGUUGACUGACAACAGGCCUCAAACAAAUGCACAGAGAUGGGUAAAAAAGAAGGUCUGGUGAUGGAAAACCAAAUAAGCCUGUCAGUGGGAAUGCAGGGAACUCUAUUUUAGUAGUUAUUGGUAAACAGAGGGUAAAGGGGAGCAAUUCAACUCUACUGAGUCAUCAGUAGAAGGGUGACAAUGCCCCCUAUCUUCUCUUUAUGGGCUCUGUCAGGAUAUCAGUCACGGCCCCAUGGCUGUAAGCAGUUUAUAUCCCAAGCAACCUGGAUUUGCUUGAUGAAAGAUUUUCCUUUGCUAUUAGAUGGCAUGACAUAGUCUAUAAAGAAAUAAUGAAGAGACACAAAAAGAGUUAAAGCUAUAGGCACAGAUAUGAAUUAAUCUACACAGCCAGCUGAGCAGAGAUGCCACUUGAUGCUAAUGGAACAUUCUGGAACAGCUUUAGCAAUAGGAGAAGGACAAGCAGUAAAAAUCCUAGUCCGAUUGCAUGUUGGAUGGUUUCAUCUCUGUUAGCCAAAUAAAAUAACAAAAUAAAACAGUUUUGUUUGGGAAGGGAGAGAUACCAUCCAUGCCCUAAAAGCUACCACAGCUUGAUCAGAAAACAGAUGUUCUGCAAGACAUCAAGAAUCACGUGCAUCUAUGCCCAUAUAGAUACAUGCACCUAGCUUGUUGGACAGGAAAUGUUUUCUUCUCAGUGCUCUCUUAGAUUUACUUCCUGACUUCUACUUGCAAAGCAAAAGGAAAAACAAACAAACAAACCUAAUAAGACACUAUGGACAUGUAGAGCAAAAUUCCAAGAUGAAUGCAGCUCCUCCAUACAAUGAAAAAUGGCCAUUUCUAAAACCACAGCUUCACACUAACAGAUAUGGACUAGGUAUGAAAAGGUUAAUAACAUUCUAUUGAGAGUAUUGUUAAAGCAUGAAGAGACAGACAGCAUUUCCUGGCUGUCAUUUCCAGCCUUAUGAUUGAAUUACUUGCUUUAGAGCUACAGCCAUUAGCAAAGAGAGAUUAAGAAAUGCCUAUCUGACUAAAAAGUGAUGUGGUCUGGCAUUGGAGCUGGGCUCUGUGGCUGCUAAGAACCAUUCUUCAUUCUCAAUGACUCACUACAAAAAGCUUGGGAAAAACAUGGAGUUCCAGCACAUUUGAAUGCAUAAUUUGGCUUUGGGUAACCAGAAUGGGACAGUUUGGCUACAUAUACUCCAGUAUGAAACUCCACAGCACAAAGAUCAUUGAGUGAUACUCAGUAUCUCCAGAUAUUAAGCUCUGAAUGCCACAAGUUAGGCAUCAAAAGAGUCUUCUGAGAAAUCUGUUCUUUGUUUCCCACAUCAUCUCAGGUAACUUAGGCAUUACAAGUUUUCCCUGCCUUGGAAUGUCUCUGUGAGUCUUGGAUUAAUUCAUCAGUGACUGAAACAUCUGCAGGCCCAGCAUCUCCAUGGGAAACCAUCUCAUUUAACAUGUUUUCCAUUCUACCAUUUCAGGAUGAAGAAAAUGCUUGGAUUAUAGCAUUGUAUAAACUGAUGGAAAAGGACUGUACCUUAAACUGGAACUUGCUCUUUUUGCCUUGAAUUCCAGUGAGGACAUUAUUAAGUUACCACUAUUCUUACAGUAUUUCUGACAAUCAAAUUAGCCUAUUUGUCCAUUGCUACCUACUGCCAGCUUUCCACCUCAACCCAGUCAUGUGCAACCAUCAGGUCUACUCCAUAUAUCUGAAUUAUCUUCCUGUCAAUCCUUAACACUCUGUGUGAACAGCUUACAACAGAAGUGUAAUUAGAAAGGCAUGAGAUUGACAAAAUAUUAUGUAUGGUGUAUGAGCAAAGAAAAUGAUCUGAAAACUGACUGUUGGAAGGGAGGUCUGGAUCAAAGUAUUCUCUUUGGCAUGUGACAUACAGCUCCCUUAUUUUUAUGAAGCACUUGCCAUGUCCCUGCCAGAUGAGGACAUACUCGACAAAGACUACCAACAGAGGAAGACAUGCUGCUCAGAUAUCUGUUAGAUGCUUGGAGGUUCAGACUUCACCAUCUUCCUAUUGAGACUUUUAUAUCCCACGAACACAAAACUUCUGCAUGUUUGCUGGAGUGAGGUGUGCAGAUGUUCCCCCUGCUAGAGAAAGGAAAAUUCCUAAAGGAGAACUGCAAGAAUGGCUUCUAAUAA